RNAcentral lists this ribosomal RNA (485 nucleotides) under uncultured Weissella sp. RNAcentral describes it as "bacterial SSU rRNA". It matches the Rfam family "Bacterial small subunit ribosomal RNA", at positions 68 to 507 of the family's 1533-position model. Lineage: Bacteria; Bacillati; Bacillota; Bacilli; Lactobacillales; Lactobacillaceae. The record is from RNAcentral.
GUUUUGUGGUUCAACUGAUUUGAAGAGCUUGCUCAGAUAUGACGAUGGACAUUGCAAAGAGUGGCGAACGGGUGAGUAACACGUGGGAAACCUACCUCUUAGCAGGGGAUAACAUUUGGAAACAGAUGCUAAUACCGUAUAACAAUAGCAACCGCAUGGUUGCUACUUAAAAGAUGGUUCUGCUAUCACUAAGAGAUGGUCCCGCGGUGCAUUAGUUAGUUGGUGAGGUAAUGGCUCACCAAGACUAUGAUGCAUAGCCGAGUUGAGAGACUGAUCGGCCACAAUGGGACUGAGACACGGCCCAUACUCCUACGGGAGGCAGCAGUAGGGAAUCUUCCACAAUGGGCGAAAGCCUGAUGGAGCAACGCCGCGUGUGUGAUGAAGGGUUUCGGCUCGUAAAACACUGUUGUAAGAGAAGAAUGACAUUGAGAGUAACUAUUCAAUGUGUGACGGUAUCUUACCAGAAAGGAACGGCUAAAUACGUG